AUUUGAAUACUUUGACCCACAGAAAGUUGGCAUUGACUCUUUUGACUUCUCUUCCAAAGAUUAUUUAGCCAGCAGUUCAGAACUAAAGAUGGGUGACAGUGCCAAAGAAAUGAUUAGUUCGAUUUAUACAAUUAUUACCAACAGCCCUUUAGCAUCAAAUGCUAUUGUGACAUUCAUUCUUUUUGCUUUGGAGAAGAUGCUGGAAGUAGAAUUUGUGUGCCCUUGCCAUGGACUACUAUGGAAUAUUGCUUUGGCUUGUUGUUAUCUUUUUGUUCCAGCAGGGAUAUUCUUCAUUUUAAUGUAUAUUUAUUAUCUACUAAUCGCUGACGAUUCAGUGAAAACAAAAAAAAAAUGCUGCUGUUGCAAUUGCAAUUGGUGUGGUUGCAAAUUUUGCAUACACAGCUUAGUUCCUCCUCUAGUGUGGAUAAUCAUCGUGUUACUUGAUGGAAAAUACAUAUCUUGUGCAUUCACAUACUGGUCAGGCAAUUAUGAAGUGAUGGAUGGUGGUGGACUGAUUAAAUGGUGCAAACCAAAUGACGACUCAUCUGAAAAUACACGCUUUAUUCAGAAAUUGUACACAAUCUCUCAGUGGACUGGAUUUGCUUUCUGCAUUUUUCCUGCUGGGAUCUUAUGCUUCACCUACUGCUGCACUUGUCAAAACCAACAGGAAUCAGGAACAACAGAAUCAGGACCAACAGAAUCAGGAGCAACAGAAUCAGGAACAACAGAAUCAGGACCAACAGAAUCAGGAACAACAGAAUCAGGACCAACAGAAUCAGGAGCAACAGAAUCAGGACCAACAGAAUCAGGACCAACAGAAUCAGGAACAACAGAAUCAGGAACAACAGAAUCAGGACCAACAGAAUCAGGAGCAACAGAAUCAGGAACAACAGAAUCAGGACCAACAGAAUCAGGAACAACAGAAUCAGGAACAACAGAAUCAGGACCAACAGAAUCAGGAGCAACAGAAUCAGGACCAACAGAAUCAGGACCAACAGAAUCAGGACCAACAGAAUCAGGAGCAACAGAAUCAGGAGCAACAGAAUCAGGAACAACAGAAGAGGUAACACCAGAAUUAAGAUCAAAUGAAUCAGGAACAACAAAUCAGGAACAUCAGAAUCAGGAGCAAAAGGAGCAAAAGAGUCCAGAUAAAGAUCAACAGAUUCAGAUAACAACAGUAUCAGGAGCAACAGAACCUAAAACAAAAUCAGGAGCAACAGAAUCAAAAACAAAAGUAGCAGGAGCAGCAGGAUCUGGAAAAGGAGAAUCAGGAGCAAAAUAAUCAGGAGCAAGAGAAUCAGGAACAACAGUUAGGGACAACAGAAUUGGGAACAACAGAAACAGCAACAUCAGAAUCAGGGAAAACAGAAUUUAAAACUACAGAAUCAAAAACAUCAGAAUCAGGAACAACAGAAUUGAGAACAGCAAAAUUGGAAGGAAACAGAAAUCAGGGUUAACAGAAUAAGCAAGAACAGAAUCUGACACAACAAAUCAGGAAAAAUAGAAUCACGAAAAGCAGGACCCAUUAAAACAAAAUCAGGAGCAAAAGGACCCGGGACAAAAAAUCAGGGACAACAUAAUCAGGAACAACAAAAUCAGGAGCAGCAGAACCAGGAAAAAAGAAUCGGGAGCAAAAUAACCUGAAACAAAAGAAUCAGAAGCAACAGAAUAAGAAAAACUGGAUCAGGAAAAUCUGAAACAGGAGCAACAGAACCAGCAACAACAGGACCAGGAGUGACAGAAUCAGGCAGAUCAGUAUCAGGAGCGACAAAACCUAAAACAACAUGAUAAGGACCAACAGAACCAGGAGCAACAGGAUUAGAAACAACAGGAUCAGGAACAACAGAAUUAGGAGAAACAGAAUCAGGAGUGACAGAAUCAAAAUUAACAGGAUUAAGAGUAACAGAAUCUGUAACAACAAAUUCGAGAGCAACGGUAUUAGUACCAACAGGACCAGGAGCAAAAGAAUCAGAAAAAAAUGGGACCAGGUGCAACAGGAUCAGAAGCAGCAGGAUCAGGAGAAUGUGGAUAUGGAGCAAACAAUCUCCCCAUGUCACCCUCUAAAGAAAAUGUUGAAUUUAAAAAAUGACUCAUGGAUGAACUUACAUUGCAUUUAGUUGUUGUUUAGACAAAAUAUGAUACAAGAAUAUGUUACGCCUCCUAAAGAUGUAUAUAGGAAGUGGGAGAGGGUGCAAGUUUGAUGUUCAAACCAUGUAAUUCUUUUUUUAUAUUUUAAUCCAUUAUUGCUUGGUUUAAAUUUUCUUAUGUUAGAUCUUUCUUUAAAAAAAACUGUGAAAAUUUCCUUCUGCAAAAGGAGAGGAUUCACAUUUUACCUGUAACUUGCUAAUGAUGUUAAAUAAACAAGAUCAUAACCAAAUAGUUUUUUUUUUCUGUAAUUCAUUUCAACAUAGGCUAAUUUCUUUAAAAUGUAUCUUAUGAUGAUGCAGAUAAUUACAAUUUAGAGCUCAUAAUAUUAAAAAUGUUGUCUAUUUAAAAUAAUUACAUCAUGAGAGGAUCAAUACACUGGAGAUUUUCCAAUGUUGCAGAUUUAAUAACAAACAAACUCAAAUGUUUCCUGAGACUUCAAAUGUUGUCAGUCUAACUGUAGACUGCAGUUCACUAACAUCUGCAAAUGAG
RNAcentral lists this long non-coding RNA (2637 nucleotides) under Oryzias javanicus (javanese ricefish). Its description in RNAcentral is "lncRNA (ENSOJAG00000011092.1)". Lineage: Eukaryota; Metazoa; Chordata; Actinopteri; Beloniformes; Adrianichthyidae. The record is from RNAcentral.